This is a non-coding RNA of Nelumbo nucifera (sacred lotus), 149 nucleotides long. NCBI's taxonomy places the organism in Eukaryota, Viridiplantae, Streptophyta, Magnoliopsida, Proteales, Nelumbonaceae. The record is from Rfam.
GGGGCAAGAGGUUGUCAAGCUAGCCAAGGAGCUUGCCUAUGAAUGGCACAAAACCAGGGCUGGAUUGAAUUCCAAUAUUACAUGAUGAGAGACCCUAAUUAGGAGGACAUAGGCAAGUCAUCCUUGGCUACCAAACAAGACUCUCAUCU